RNAcentral lists this ribosomal RNA (254 nucleotides) under uncultured bacterium. RNAcentral's name for it is "partial 16S ribosomal RNA". It matches the Rfam family "Bacterial small subunit ribosomal RNA", at positions 524 to 776 of the family's 1533-position model. The record is from RNAcentral.
UACGGGGGGAGCAAGCGUUGUUCGGAUUUACUGGGCGUAAAGGGCGCGUAGGCGGUCAGCACAAGUCAGUUGUGAAAUCUCCGGGCUUAACUCGGAAAGGUCAACUGAUACUGUGCGACUAGAGUGCAGAAGGGGCAACUGGAAUUCUCGGUGUAGCGGUGAAAUGCGUAGAUAUCGAGAGGAACACCUGCGGCGAAGGCGGGUUGCUGGGCUGACACUGACGCUGAUGCGCGAAAGCCAGGGGAGCGAACGGA